GACGAACGCUGGCGGCGUGCCUAAUACAUGCAAGUUGAGCGCUGAAGGUUGGUACUUGUACCCACUGGAUGAGCAGCGAACGGGUGAGUAACGCGUGGGGAAUCUGCCUUUGAGCGGGGGACAACAUUUGGAAACGAAUGCUAAUACCGCAUAAAAACUUUAAACACAAGUUUUAAGUUUGAAAGAUGCAAUUGCAUCACUCAAAGAUGAUCCCGCGUUGUAUUAGCUAGUUGGUGAGGUAAAGGCUCACCAAGGCGAUGAUACAUAGCCGACCUGAGAGGGUGAUCGGCCACAUUGGGACUGAGACACGGCCCAAACUCCUACGGGAGGCAGCAGUAGGGAAUCUUCGGCAAUGGACGAAAGUCUGACCGAGCAACGCCGCGUGAGGGAAGAAGGUUGUCGGAUCGUAAAACUCUGUUGGUAGAGAAGAACGUUGGUGAGAGUGGAAAGCUCAUCAAGUGACGGUAACUACCCAGAAAGGGACGGCUAACUACGUG
Molecule: ribosomal RNA, 497 nt
Filed under: uncultured bacterium
Lineage: Bacteria
Description: partial 16S ribosomal RNA
Rfam family: Bacterial small subunit ribosomal RNA
Source: RNAcentral